Molecule: transfer RNA, 96 nt
Filed under: Streptomyces sp. SID2955
Lineage: Bacteria; Bacillati; Actinomycetota; Actinomycetes; Kitasatosporales; Streptomycetaceae
Description: tRNA-OTHER
Source: RNAcentral
GCCCCCGCGCCUACUGGGCAAGCGCGCGCCUGGCCGUUGGGUCGCCCGGAUGAACUCCUAAAGCGGGUGUCGCAGGUUCGAAUCCUGCCGGGGGCA